This 301-nucleotide ribosomal RNA is filed under the name uncultured bacterium. RNAcentral describes it as "partial 16S ribosomal RNA". It matches the Rfam family "Bacterial small subunit ribosomal RNA", at positions 509 to 808 of the family's 1533-position model. The record is from RNAcentral.
CAGCAGCCCGGUAAUACGAAGGGUGCAAGCGUUAAUCGGAAUUACUGGGCGUAAAGCGUGCGUAGGCGGUUUGUUAAGUCUGUUGUGAAAUCCCCGGGCUCAACCUGGGAAUGGCAAUGGAUACUGGCAAGCUAGAGUGUGUCAGAGGAUGGUGGAAUUCCCGGUGUAGCGGUGAAAUGCGUAGAGAUCGGGAGGAACAUCAGUGGCGAAGGCGGCCAUCUGGGACAACACUGACGCUGAGGCACGAAAGCGUGGGGAGCAAACAGGAUUAGAUACCCCCGUAGUCCCUGUCUCUUAUACA